CCGCGAACGGGUGAGUAACACGUGGGUAAUCUGCCCCAAUGACCGGGACAACCCGAGGAAACUCGGGCUAAUACCGGAUGUGGUGCACAGGCAUAAGCCUGUGUACUAAAGGUAGCUUCGGCUUCCGCAUUGGGAGGGGCCCGCGGCCCAUUAGCUUGUUGGUGGGGUCAAGGCCUACCAAGGCAACGAUGGGUAGCUGGUCUGAGAGGACGAUCAGCCACACUGGGACUGAGACACGGCCCAGACUCC
RNAcentral lists this ribosomal RNA (249 nucleotides) under uncultured bacterium. RNAcentral describes it as "partial 16S ribosomal RNA". It matches the Rfam family "Bacterial small subunit ribosomal RNA", at positions 96 to 339 of the family's 1533-position model. The record is from RNAcentral.